CCUUCACGAAGUCGGAAUUGCUAGUAAUGGCAGGUCAGCAUACUGCCGUGAAUACGUUCCCGGGCCUUGUACACACCGCCCGUCACACCAUGAGAGUUGGAAAUACCCGAAGCCUGUGAGCUAACUUAAAGAGGCAGCAGUCGAAGGUAGAGCCAAUGAUUGGGGUGAAGUCGUAACAAGGUAAC
RNAcentral lists this ribosomal RNA (185 nucleotides) under uncultured bacterium. Its description in RNAcentral is "partial 16S ribosomal RNA". It matches the Rfam family "Bacterial small subunit ribosomal RNA", at positions 1315 to 1500 of the family's 1533-position model. The record is from RNAcentral.